GCAUAUCAAUAAGCGGAGGAAAAGAAACUAACAAGGAUUCCCCUAGUAACGGCGAGUGAAGCGGGAAGAGCUCAAAUUUGAAAUCUAAUGGCCUCAGGUCAUUCGAGUUGUAAUCUAUAGGAACGUUUUCCGUGCCGGCUCAUGUACAAGUCCCUUGGAACAGGGCGUCAUAGAGGGUGAGAAUCCCGUACUUGACAUGAACUACCGGUGCUCUGUGAUACGUCUCCAACGAGUCGAGUUGUUUGGGAAUGCAGCUCAAAAUGGGUGGUAAAUUCCAUCUAAAGCUAAAUAUUGGUGUGAGACCGAUAGCGAACAAGUACCGUGAGGGAAAGAUGAAAAGCACUUUGGAAAGAGAGUUAAAAAGUAUGUGAAAUUGUUGAAAGGGAAACGAUUGAAGUCAGUCAUGUCCUUCAGAUUCAGCUGGUUCUGCCGGUGUAUUUCUGUUGGAUGGGGUCAACAUCAGUUUUGGAUGCCGGAUAAAGGCAGGAGGAAGGUAGUACUCUCGAGUAAACUUAUAGCCUCCUGUUGCAUACGGUGACUGGGACUGAGGAACGCAGCUUGCCUUUAUGGCCGGGGUUCGCCCACGUACAAGCUUAGGAUGUUGACAUAAUGGCUUUA
Molecule: ribosomal RNA, 618 nt
Filed under: Piskurozyma filicata
Lineage: Eukaryota; Fungi; Basidiomycota; Tremellomycetes; Filobasidiales; Piskurozymaceae
Description: eukaryotic LSU rRNA
Rfam family: Eukaryotic large subunit ribosomal RNA
Source: RNAcentral